UGGGCACGUCCCCUGAACUGCUCCCCCCCCCCGCAGACCUGUGCAAGAACUGCCACCACCUGAUCGCACGCCACGAGUACACCUUCAGCGUGGUGGAUGACUACCAGGAGUACACCAUGCUGUGCCUGCUGUGCGGCCGGGCCGAGGACUCCAUCAGCAUCCUGCCCGACGACCCGCGCCAGAUGACCCCGCUCUUCUGAAGCCGGUCUGUGCCCCGGCACGGCCCCCGGCCCCGCUCCCCGUGUGCCCAGCGCCCCACGGAGCUGUGGGACCGUGCUGCUGGCACUGGGGGGGCUUCGUUCCUGCCCCUGUUCAAACCUCCAGCCUGGAUGCGAUGGACGCCCGAUGCUGGAUGCUGCCUGCUCUGCUCCAGCCUCGUGCUGCGCCUGCUCCCGAGUCCCCUUUGCACUGAAGAAAGGGAGGGGACCCAGAAACCCACCCCUGAAAUGGCUCAGGGUGGCACAGCCGCCUCGUCCUGCCCCCAAGGGGUCUGUGUGGGCAAUAAAUGUGAGCAUUUAACAGC
Molecule: long non-coding RNA, 523 nt
Organism: Oxyura jamaicensis (ruddy duck)
Lineage: Eukaryota; Metazoa; Chordata; Aves; Anseriformes; Anatidae
Exons: 2
Source: RefSeq, a predicted model, not a curated record